This 305-nucleotide ribosomal RNA is filed under the name uncultured bacterium. RNAcentral describes it as "bacterial SSU rRNA". It matches the Rfam family "Bacterial small subunit ribosomal RNA", at positions 337 to 639 of the family's 1533-position model. The record is from RNAcentral.
ACCUACGGGGGGCAGCAGUGAGGAAUAUUGGUCAAUGGGCGGUAGCCUGAACCAGCCAAGUAGCGUGAAGGAUGAAGGUUCUAUGGAUUGUAAACUUCUUUUAUAAAGGAAUAAAGUGAGGCACGUGUGCCUUUUUGUAUGUACUUUAUGAAUAAGGAUCGGCUAACUCCGUGCCAGCAGCCGCGGUAAUACGUAGGAUCCGAGCGUUAUCCGGAUUUAUUGGGUGUAAAGGGCGUGCAGCCGGGCCGACAAGUCAGAUGUGAAAUCCGCGGGCUUAACCCGCGAACUGCAUUUGAAACUAUUGG